GGACUACUGGGGUAUCUAAUCCUGUUUGAUCCCCACACUUUCGUGCCAGAGCGUCAGUUAUUGUCCAGAGUGCCGCCUUCGCCACCGGUGUUCCUCCUAAUAUCUACGAAUUUCACCUCUACAUUAGGAAUUCCGCACUCCCCUCCAAUACUCUAGCUUUCCAGUUUCAAAGGCAAUUCUGGGGUUGAGCCCCAGGAUUUCACCCCUGACUUGGAAAGCCGCCUACGCACGCUUUACGCCCAGUGAUUCCGAACAACGCUAGCACCCUUCGUAUUACCGCGGCUGCUGGCAC
RNAcentral lists this ribosomal RNA (292 nucleotides) under uncultured bacterium. RNAcentral's name for it is "partial 16S ribosomal RNA". The record is from RNAcentral.